Molecule: ribosomal RNA, 467 nt
Filed under: Peribacillus simplex
Lineage: Bacteria; Bacillati; Bacillota; Bacilli; Caryophanales; Bacillaceae
Description: bacterial SSU rRNA
Source: RNAcentral
CUACGGGGUGGCWGCAGUAGGGAAUCUUCCGCAAUGGACGAAAGUCUGACGGAGCAACGCCGCGUGAACGAAGAAGGCCUUCGGGUCGUAAAGUUCUGUUGUUAGGGAAGAACAAGUACCAGAGUAACUGCUGGUACCUUGACGGUACCUAACCAGAAAGCCACGGCUAACUACGUGCCAGCAGCCGCGGUAAUACGUAGGUGGCAAGCGUUGUCCGGAAUUAUUGGGCGUAAAGCGCGCGCAGGUGGUUCCUUAAGUCUGAUGUGAAAGCCCACGGCUCAACCGUGGAGGGUCAUUGGAAACUGGGGAACUUGAGUGCAGAAGAGGAAAGUGGAAUUCCAAGUGUAGCGGUGAAAUGCGUAGAGAUUUGGAGGAACACCAGUGGCGAAGGCGACUUUCUGGUCUGUAACUGACACUGAGGCGCGAAAGCGUGGGGAGCAAACAGGAUUAGAUACCCCURGUAGUCA